RNAcentral lists this transfer RNA (68 nucleotides) under Gynaikothrips ficorum. Its description in RNAcentral is "tRNA-Ser". Lineage: Eukaryota; Metazoa; Arthropoda; Insecta; Thysanoptera; Phlaeothripidae. The record is from RNAcentral.
GAAUAAUUAACAUAUAAGAAUGUAUAUAUUUUGAAAAUAUAAAAAAAAUAAAUGAUAUUUAUUAUUCU